GACGAACGCUGGCGGCGUGCCUAACACAUGCAAGUCGAACGGAAAGACGCGGCGUUUGUGGGUUUCUCGAGUGGCGAACGGGGGAGUAACACGUGAGUAACCUGCCCUUGACUGUGUGAGAACUUCAGGGAAAUGGGGCGCAUAUCGGAGAUGAUCUCCUGAUGCGUGGUGUGGGAUGGAAAGUGUCGGCGGUUGGGGCUGGAUUGGAGGCUUAUGAGCUGGUUGGUGUGGUAGGGGAUUACCAAGGCUUUGACGGGUAGCCGGCCUGAGAGGGUGACCGGCGACCAGGGUACUGCGGUACGCACCAGUAUGCUACGGGACGCAGCGGUGGGGAGUAUUGCACAGUGGGCGGAAGCCAGAUGCAGAGGUGCCGCGUGCGUAAUGACCGCCUUCGGGUUGUAAACCGAUUUGGCAUGUGCUGAAGAGUUAGUGACGGUACUGGGUCAAGAAGCCACGGCUAACUACGUG
This 468-nucleotide ribosomal RNA is filed under the name uncultured bacterium. RNAcentral describes it as "partial 16S ribosomal RNA". It matches the Rfam family "Bacterial small subunit ribosomal RNA", at positions 28 to 507 of the family's 1533-position model. The record is from RNAcentral.